GAUGAACGCUGGCGGCGUGCCUAAUACAUGCAAGUCGAGCGAACGGACGAGAAGCUUGCUUCUCUGAUGUUAGCGGCGGACGGGUGAGUAACACGUGGAUAACCUACCUAUAAGACUGGGAUAACUUCGGGAAACCGGAGCUAAUACCGGAUGAUAUUUUGAACCGCAUGGUUCAAAAGUGAAAGACGGUCUUGCUGUUACUUAUAGAUGGAUCCGCGCUGCAUUAGCUAGUUGUUAAGGUAACGGCUUACCACGGCAACGAUGCAUAGCCGACCUGAGAGGGUGACCGUCCACCCUGGAAGUGAGACAGGGUCAAGACCCCUACGGGAGGCAGCAGUAGGGAAUCUUCAGAAAUGGGCGAAAGCCUGACGGAGCGACGCCGAGUGAGUGAUGAAGGUCUUCGGAUCGUAAAACUCUGUUCUUAGGGAAGAACAGAUGUGUAAGUAACUGUGCACAUCUUGACGGUACCUAAACAGAAAGCCACGGCUAACUACGUG
This 497-nucleotide ribosomal RNA is filed under the name uncultured bacterium. Its description in RNAcentral is "partial 16S ribosomal RNA". It matches the Rfam family "Bacterial small subunit ribosomal RNA", at positions 28 to 507 of the family's 1533-position model. The record is from RNAcentral.